Molecule: ribosomal RNA, 1440 nt
Filed under: uncultured organism
Description: SSU rRNA
Rfam family: Bacterial small subunit ribosomal RNA
Source: RNAcentral
UGAUGAACGCUAGCUACAGGCUUAACACAUGCAAGUCGAGGGGCAGCAUGGUCUUAGCUUGCUAAGGCCGAUGGCGACCGGCGCACGGGUGAGUAACACGUAUCCAACCUGCCGUCUACUCUUGGACAGCCUUCUGAAAGGAAGAUUAAUACAAGAUGGCAUCAUGAGUCCGCAUGUUCACAUGAUUAAAGGUAUUCCGGUAGACGAUGGGGAUGCGUUCCAUUAGAUAGUAGGCGGGGUAACGGCCCACCUAGUCUUCGAUGGAUAGGGGUUCUGAGAGGAAGGUCCCCCACAUUGGAACUGAGACACGGUCCAAACUCCUACGGGAGGCAGCAGUGAGGAAUAUUGGUCAAUGGGCGAGAGCCUGAACCAGCCAAGUAGCGUGAAGGAUGACUGCCCUAUGGGUUGUAAACUUCUUUUAUAAAGGAAUAAAGUCGGGUAUGGAUACCCGUUUGCAUGUACUUUAUGAAUAAGGAUCGGCUAACUCCGUGCCAGCAGCCGCGGUAAUACGGAGGACCCGAGCGUUAUCCGGAUUUAUUGGGUUUAAAGGGAGCGUAGAUGGAUGUUUAAGUCAGUUGUGAAAGUUUGCGGCUCAACCGUAAAAUUGCAGUUGAUACUGGAUAUCUUGAGUGCAGUUGAGGCAGGCGGAAUUCGUGGUGUAGCGGUGAAAUGCUUAGAUAUCACGAAGAACUCCGAUUGCGAAGGCAGCCUGCUAAGCUGCAACUGACAUUGAGGCUCGAAAGUGUGGGUAUCAAACAGGAUUAGAUACCCUGGUAGUCCACACGGUAAACGAUGAAUACUCGCUGUUUGCGAUAUACUGCAAGCGGCCAAGCGAAAGCGUUAAGUAUUCCACCGGGGGAGUACGCCGGCAACGGUGAAACUCAAAGGAAUUGACGGGGGCCCGCACAAGCGGAGGAACAUGUGGUUUAAUUCGAUGAUACGCGAGGAACCUUACCCGGGCUUAAAUUGCAGAUGAAUUACGGUGAAAGCCGUAAGCCGCAAGGCAUCUGUGAAGGUGCUGCAUGGUUGUCGUCAGCUCGUGCCGUGAGGUGUCGGCUUAAGUGCCAUAACGAGCGCAACCCUUGUUGUCAGUUACUAACAGGUUCCGCUGAGGACUCUGACAAGACUGCCAUCGUAAGAUGUGAGGAAGGUGGGGAUGACGUCAAAUCAGCACGGCCCUUACGUCCGGGGCUACACACGUGUUACAAUGGGGGGUACAGAGGGCCGCUACCACGCGAGUGGAUGCCAAUCCCCAAAACCUCUCUCAGUUCGGACUGGAGUCUGCAACCCGACUCCACGAAGCUGGAUUCGCUAGUAAUCGCGCAUCAGCCACGGCGCGGUGAAUACGUUCCCGGGCCUUGUACACACCGCCCGUCAAGCCAUGGGAGCCGGGGGUACCUGAAGUGCGUAACCGCGAGGAGCGCCCUAGGGUAAAACUGG